AGAGUUUGAUCCUGGCUCAGAGCGAACGCUGGCGGCAUGCUUAACACAUGCAAGUCGCACGGGCAGGGGCAACUCUGUCAGUGGCGGACGGGUGAGUAACGCGUAGGUAUCUAUCCUUGGGUGGGGGACAACCGUGGGAAACUACGGCUAAUACCGCAUGAUGACCGAGGUCUAAAGGCGUCCAGGGUAACUUGGUGGGUCGCCUGGGGAGGAGCCUGCGUACGAUUAGCUAGUUGGUGGGGUAAAGGCCUACCAAGGCGACGAUCGUUAGCUGGUCUGAGAGGAUGAUCAGCCACAUUGGGACUGAGACACGGCCCAAACUCCUACGGGAGGCAGCAGUGGGGAAUAUUGGACAAUGGGCGCAAGCCUGAUCCAGCAAUGCCGCGUGUGUGAAGAAGGUCUUCGGAUUGUAAAGCACUUUCGACGGGGACGAUGAUGACGGUACCCGUAGAAGAAGCCCCGGCUAACUUCGUGCCAGCAGCCGCGGUAAUACGAAGGGGGCUAGCGUUGCUCGGAAUGACUGGGCGUAAAGGGCGCGUAGGCGGAUGACACAGUCAGAUGUGAAAUUCCCGGGCUUAACCUGGGGGCUGCAUUUGAUACGUGUUGUCUAGAGUGAGGAAGAGGGUCGUGGAAUUCCCAGUGUAGAGGUGAAAUUCGUAGAUAUUGGGAAGAACACCGGUGGCGAAGGCGGCGACCUGGUCCUUGACUGACGCUGAGGCGCGAAAGCGUGGGGAGCAAACAGGAUUAGAUACCCCGGUAGUCC
This 763-nucleotide ribosomal RNA is filed under the name uncultured bacterium. RNAcentral's name for it is "bacterial SSU rRNA". It matches the Rfam family "Bacterial small subunit ribosomal RNA", at positions 8 to 796 of the family's 1533-position model. The record is from RNAcentral.